This 72-nucleotide small nuclear RNA is filed under the name Heterocephalus glaber (naked mole-rat). Its description in RNAcentral is "U4 spliceosomal RNA". It matches the Rfam family "U4 spliceosomal RNA", at positions 1 to 72 of the family's 138-position model. Rfam says of the family: U4 small nuclear RNA (U4 snRNA) is a component of the major U2-dependent spliceosome. The structure of U4 snRNA from yeast and human has been reported. Lineage: Eukaryota; Metazoa; Chordata; Mammalia; Rodentia; Bathyergidae. The record is from Rfam by way of RNAcentral.
AGCUUUGCACAGUGGCAGUAUCGUAGCCAGUGAAGUCUAUCCGAGCCAAGAUUAUUGCUAAUUGAAAGAUUG